RNAcentral lists this ribosomal RNA (504 nucleotides) under uncultured bacterium. Its description in RNAcentral is "bacterial SSU rRNA". It matches the Rfam family "Bacterial small subunit ribosomal RNA", at positions 30 to 504 of the family's 1533-position model. The record is from RNAcentral.
UAAACGCUGGCGGCGUGCUUAACACAUGCAAGUCGCACGAGAACUCUUUAAGCUUGCUUAAAGAUAGUAAAGUGGCGCACGGGUGAGUAACGCGUGGGUAAUCUACCCUUGAAUCCGGAAUAACUCGCCGAAAGGCGUGCUAAUACCAGAUAAAAUCAUUUCAACCUUGGUUUAAAUGAUCAAAGGUGGCCUCUACAUGUAAGCUACCGUUUAAGGAUGAACCCGCGUACCAUUAGCUUGUUGGUGGGGUAACGGCCUACCAAGGCGACGAUGGUUAGCUGGUCUGAGAGGAUGAUCAGCCACACUGGAACUGACACACGGUCCAGACUCCUACGGGAGGCAGCAGUGAGGAAUUUUGCGCAAUGGGGGAAACCCUGACGCAGCAACGCCGCGUGAGUGAUGAAGGCCUUCGGGUCGUAAAGCUCUGUCAAGUGGGAAGAACCUGAAAAAUGAUAAUACCAUUUUUUAUUGACGGUACCACUGAAGGAAGCACCGGCUAACUCC